This 465-nucleotide ribosomal RNA is filed under the name uncultured bacterium. RNAcentral describes it as "partial 16S ribosomal RNA". It matches the Rfam family "Bacterial small subunit ribosomal RNA", at positions 39 to 507 of the family's 1533-position model. The record is from RNAcentral.
GGGGGGGGCGGGGGGGGGGGGGGGGGGGGGGAGGGGGGGCGGGGGGGCCGCGUUGGGGGUGCUCGAGUGGCGGACGGGUGGGUGCCGCGUGAGUGACCGGCCCUUGCCUUCGGGGUAACUUCAGGACACUGGUGCUACUACCGGAUAGGGAUCCUUGCUGCGUAGUGUGGGUUGGACAGCUUCGGCGGUUUUGGCUUGACUCGCGGCUUAUCAGCGUGUUGGUGGGGUAGUGGCUUACCAAGGCUGUGACGGGUAGCCGGCUUGAGAGGGCGACCGGACACAUUGGGACUGAGAUCCGGCCCAGACUCCUACGGGUGGAAGCAGUGGAGAAGAUUGCACAAUGGGCGGAAGCCUGAUGCAGCAACGCCGCGUGAGGGAUGACGGCCUUCGGGUUGGAAACCGCUUGCAGCAGGGGCGAAGCUUGUGGUGACGGUACCUGCAGAAGAAGCACCGGCUAACUACGUG